UACAGAGGUGGCAAGCGUUGUUCGGAAUUACUGGGCGUAAAGGGCGCGUAGGCGGCCAUCUAAGUCAGACGUGAAAUCCCCCGGCUCAACCUGGGAACUGCGUCUGAUACUGGAUGGCUUGAGUGCGGGAGAGGGAUGCGGAAUUCCAGGUGUAGCGGUGAAAUGCGUAGAUAUCUGGAGGAACACCGGUGGCGAAGGCGGCAUCCUGGACCGACACUGACGCUGAGGCGCGAAAGCUAGGGUAGCAAACGGGAUUAGAUACCCCGGUAGUCCUAGCCCUAAACGAUGAGUGCUUGGUGUGGCGGGUAUCGAUCCCUGCCGUGCCGAAGCUAACGCAUUAAGCACUCCGCCUGGGGAGUACGGUCGCAAGGCUGAA
RNAcentral lists this ribosomal RNA (376 nucleotides) under uncultured bacterium. RNAcentral describes it as "bacterial SSU rRNA". It matches the Rfam family "Bacterial small subunit ribosomal RNA", at positions 524 to 898 of the family's 1533-position model. The record is from RNAcentral.